Sardina pilchardus (European sardine) is the source of this 370-nucleotide long non-coding RNA. RefSeq lists it as uncharacterized. NCBI's taxonomy places the organism in Eukaryota, Metazoa, Chordata, Actinopteri, Clupeiformes, Clupeidae. The transcript is spliced from 2 exons. The record is from RefSeq and is a predicted model, not a curated record.
GGAAGUCGGGCCCUGGUCAUUCUAUUCUCAAAUGUCGUGGUAGCUCAAUUCUGAAACUACAUCGGUUAAAAUGUCAAAUUUGUCUCUGUUUUAAGUUUAUCCCAUUCCAUGGUCGUGCAGAGUUGGCAGGCUCAACUUCUCCACUAACGCUACCGUUGACGCAGCAGACCAUCGACCGGCAUGCAAAAAGCCUCUUUCCUCUGUAGUGUGACGCUCAUCACGAAUUCUGGGUGAAACCUCCCAUUGGCCAGGAAAACUUCAUCACAACCAAAGUUGACACCUUGGACGUGGACCGGUGUUAUGUUAUGUCUAUCUGACCUGAUGGCAAUCGUGCAGCAGUAAUGGCAGUGUAAAUAAAAAUUACUUUGUA